This 253-nucleotide ribosomal RNA is filed under the name uncultured bacterium. RNAcentral's name for it is "partial 16S ribosomal RNA". It matches the Rfam family "Bacterial small subunit ribosomal RNA", at positions 524 to 776 of the family's 1533-position model. The record is from RNAcentral.
UACGAAGGGGGCUAGCGUUGCUCGGAAUCACUGGGCGUAAAGCGCACGAAGGCGGAUUGUUAAGUCAGGGGUGAAAUCCUGGAGCUCAACUCCAGAACUGCCUUUGAUACUGGCGAUCUCGAGUCCGGGAGAGGUGAGUGGAACUGCGAGUGUAGAGGUGAAAUUCGUAGAUAUUCGCAAGAACACCAGUGGCGAAGGCGGCUCACUGGCCCGGUACUGACGCUGAGGUGCGAAAGCGUGGGGAGCAAACAGG